CAAUAGCGUAUAUUAAAGUUGUUGCGGUUAAAAAGCUCGUAGUUGGAUUUCUGCUGAGAACGACCGGUCCGCCCUCUGGGUGUGUAUCUGGCUCUUUCUUGGCAUCUUCUUGGUGAACGUUGCUGCACUUGACUGUGUGGAGCGCUACCCAGGACUUUUACUUUGAGGAAAUUAGAGUGUUUCAAGCAGGCAUACGCCUUGAAUACAUUAGCAUGGAAUAAUAAGAUAGGACCUCGGUUCUAUUUUGUUGGUUUCUAGAGCUGAGGUAAUGAUUAAUAGGGAUAGUUGGGGGCAUUCGUAUUUAACUGUCAGAGGUGAAAUUCUUAGAUUCGUUGAGGACCAACCACUGCGAAAGCAUUUGUCAAGGAUGUCUCCAUUAA
This 380-nucleotide ribosomal RNA is filed under the name uncultured eukaryote. Its description in RNAcentral is "partial 18S ribosomal RNA". It matches the Rfam family "Eukaryotic small subunit ribosomal RNA", at positions 592 to 976 of the family's 1831-position model. The record is from RNAcentral.